GCGAAAGUGGCGGAAUUGGUAGACGCGCUGGCUUUAGGUGCCAGUGGGGUUUCCCCGUGAGAGUUCGAGUCUCUCCUUUCGCACCA
RNAcentral lists this transfer RNA (86 nucleotides) under Gammaproteobacteria bacterium. Its description in RNAcentral is "tRNA-Leu". It matches the Rfam family "tRNA". From Rfam's summary of the family: Transfer RNA (tRNA) molecules are approximately 80 nucleotides in length. Their secondary structure includes four short double-helical elements and three loops (D, anti-codon, and T loops). Further hydrogen bonds mediate the characteristic L-shaped molecular structure. tRNAs have two regions of fundamental functional importance: the anti-codon, which is responsible for specific mRNA codon recognition, and the 3' end, to which the tRNAs corresponding amino acid is attached (by aminoacyl-tRNA synthetases). tRNAs cope with the degeneracy of the genetic code in two manners: having more than one tRNA (with a specific anti-codon) for a particular amino acid; and 'wobble' base-pairing, i.e. permitting non-standard base-pairing at the 3rd anti-codon position. Lineage: Bacteria; Pseudomonadati; Pseudomonadota; Gammaproteobacteria. The record is from RNAcentral.